Molecule: long non-coding RNA, 464 nt
Filed under: Populus trichocarpa (black cottonwood)
Lineage: Eukaryota; Viridiplantae; Streptophyta; Magnoliopsida; Malpighiales; Salicaceae
Description: long non-coding RNA (PTRI_LNC001686)
Source: RNAcentral
CAAAGGCGUGGUGGGUUCAGCAAGCAAUCAACUCCAUGAAUUCGAUCCUCUUCUCUAAAUUAUUCCAUCGAUCUCUCUCCCUGUCAAUAAUUGAAUAUCUUUGUCAAGUUCAAGGCAGAUACAAAGGCGUGGUGGGUUCAGCAAGCAAUCAAUGAUUUACUCAUAGAAUCCACCAUAUUUUUUUCAUGUUAAUUUGAAAUCGAAUGGUGACCUUAGCAAGUAGCUGACCUGUAUCUGCAGGUCAUCGGUCAUCGGUCAUCGGUCGAUUGCUGAGAUGUUACCUGGUCACUGCUGGCCAUGGUGAUUUUAUUGUUUUAUAGUGCUCGCAAGCCCACACAUGCAUUGUCAUUUAUGUUGUUUCCAUCAAUUUUUCUCAUCAUGAUCAUGUAAAUGGUGGGGAAAGACAUGGAUGAUUUUCCUAUCACUAAAAUAUAAAAUCUUUGUUGAUAUACAUUUUGAUCCUU